AGAGGUAAACGGGUGGAGUUGAACUGCAAUCUCUGUGAAUUCAGCUGGUGAAAGUGAAUUGAGCUUGGUCAAAUUGGGCAGGGCCCUGAGGUAUGCUUAGCUGCAUGUCCUGAUCUUCGGGUCGGGAUGCGCGUUGCUCUUAUCAAGAGCUGUGCGCCUCGGGUGUCCGGCUGGCUCGUUCGCCAGUGCACUUUCUCAGAGUGAUCACCACGACCGGCGCUGCCGUUCGGCUGUCUGGGUUAAAUCGGUCAUUCAUCGUCCUUGUGGUGUUGUUUGGCCGACACGGCAGGUCACUGGGCGCUCGCUUCGGUGCGCGUUCCGGUAUAUGCUGGCCUGGACGGUUCUGUGCGGUGUGUCGGAGACGGCGGCUUGUGUGUAUAUGCGUGCUCUAUCUGCUGAUGUAUUCUGACUCGGUGGCUGUGUGCUUGUUCAAGCAGGCCCAGUUAUAGUCGGUGUAUGUUGGUGGGUGGUUGCGUGUGUGACACUUCAUGGGGCCUAUAGUCUGUGGUGUUGUGGUAGACUGUCCAUCCGACCCGUCUUGAAACACGGACCAAGGAGAGUAACAUGUGCGCGAGUCAUUGGGCGUAACGAAACCCAAAGGCGCAGUGAAAGUGAAGGUUUGGCUUGUCCAGACUGAGGUGAGAUCUUGUCGUUUCUCAUGCGUGGUACCACCAAGCUUGGAGCGGCAGGCGCAUCACCGGCCCGUCCCAUGACGUAGUCACUGUCUCCGGAUGGUGCGCCGUCGGGGCGGAGCAUGAGCGUACAUGUUGAGACCCGAAAGAUGGUGAACUAUGCUUGCGCAGGUUGAAGCCAGAGGAAACUCUGGUGGAGGACCGCAGCGAUUCUGACGUGCAAAUCGAUCGUCAAACGUGAGUAUAGGGG
Molecule: ribosomal RNA, 882 nt
Filed under: Prosthenhystera obesa
Lineage: Eukaryota; Metazoa; Platyhelminthes; Trematoda; Plagiorchiida; Callodistomidae
Description: eukaryotic LSU rRNA
Rfam family: Eukaryotic large subunit ribosomal RNA
Source: RNAcentral